ACGUAGGUGGCAAGCGUUGUCCGGAUUUAUUGGGCGUAAAGCGAGCGCAGGCGGUUUCUUAAGUCUGAUGUGAAAGCCUUCGGCUCAACCGAAGAAGUGCGUAGGAGACUGGGAAACUUGAGUGCAGAAGAGGAGAGUGGAACUCCAUGUGUGGCAGUGAAAGGCGUAGAUAUGUUGUAGAACACCAUAGGCGAAGGCAGCCCGCUGGUCUCGGACUGUGGCUGUUGCAGGAGAACAUGAGGAGCAGUCAG
This 251-nucleotide ribosomal RNA is filed under the name uncultured prokaryote. RNAcentral's name for it is "partial 16S rRNA". It matches the Rfam family "Bacterial small subunit ribosomal RNA", at positions 525 to 775 of the family's 1533-position model. The record is from RNAcentral.